CCUACGGGUGGCUGCAGUGAGGAAUAUUGGUCAAUGGACGAGAGUCUGAACCAGCCAAGUAGCGUGAAGGAUGACUGCCCUAUGGGUUGUAAACUUCUUUUAUAAAGGAAUAAAACGAGGCACGUGUGCCUUUUUGUAUGUACUUUAUGAAUAAGGAUCGGCUAACUCCGUGCCAGCAGCCGCGGUAAUACGGAGGAUCCGAGCGUUAUCCGGAUUUAUUGGGUUUAAAGGGAGCGUAGAUGGGUUGUUAAGUCAGUUGUGAAAGUUUGCGGCUCAACCGUAAAAUUGCAAUUGAUACUGGCAGUCUUGAGUACAGUUGAGGUAAGCGGAAUGCGUGGUGUAGCGGUGAAAUGCUUAGAUAUCACGAAGAACCCCGAUUGCGAAGGCAGCUUACUAAACUGUGACUGACAUUGAUGCUCGAAAGUGUGGGUAUCAAACAGGAUUAGAUACCCGAGUAGUC
This 460-nucleotide ribosomal RNA is filed under the name uncultured bacterium. RNAcentral's name for it is "partial 16S ribosomal RNA". It matches the Rfam family "Bacterial small subunit ribosomal RNA", at positions 338 to 795 of the family's 1533-position model. The record is from RNAcentral.